This 126-nucleotide small nuclear RNA is filed under the name Zalophus californianus (California sea lion). Its description in RNAcentral is "U4 spliceosomal RNA (ENSZCAG00015016510.1)". The stretch from base 1 to 78 matches the Rfam family "U4 spliceosomal RNA". Rfam says of the family: U4 small nuclear RNA (U4 snRNA) is a component of the major U2-dependent spliceosome. The structure of U4 snRNA from yeast and human has been reported. U4 snRNA presents a k-turn RNA motif in the 5p-SL related to recognition of Snu13 protein. The record is from RNAcentral. Lineage: Eukaryota; Metazoa; Chordata; Mammalia; Carnivora; Otariidae.
AGCUUUGCACAGUGGCAGUAUCGUAGCCAAUGAGGUUUAUCCGAGGCGUGAUUAUUGCUAAUUGAAGAUAUUAAUACUGUGCCGCCGUCCAGGAGCAUGCUUGAUGGAAAGGGACCAGCCUUUCCC